CGCCCUCCGUUUAUACCUGUCUCAAACUCACUUCUGAUUAGAAAACAUCUACUCGUUGAUUCUUCUGAGGGAAUUUAAGAAUCUUUAAAGUGGAGGACUUUGAUCGAUUUGAGGACCACGGGCUGGAGGAGUGCCAAGACGUGAACUGCCCAGCAGUUUGAUUGAUGUGAGCCAGGAAAGACACUAAGCUAACAGUAAUGGAAGGUUGUGUAGAGCAGCUCCAGAAGUGAUGCGUUCUUCACUGACACUGAUGUUCCAGAACAGCAGAAAAAAUGGUACUGAAUAUUUCAGCAGGGAUCAGGAGUCUUCAGGCGCGUCUUUUCCUUUUGUCCUGUAAGUAUGCACCUUUCCUAAACAACUGUAGGCGACUUCAGAUGAUGUCUUUUCCACUUUGUUAAUAGCAUACUUUGAGUCUUUACUUUCUAGUGUUUAAAUGAACAUUCACCAGCCUGAGUAAGGAAAAAGAAUUCAUUUUGAUGAUCCAGUCACUCCAUAUUGGAAAAUGUACUGGAAAAUACUACAGUGCAAAAGGGAUAUCUUAGCAAGUAACAAUAUCUUGAAUAUCGGCAAAUUCAACUAAUAUUUCUCUAUUUGAUUGAUUUUAAACUAAUCUGAGUAAGUCUGUUGUGUAUAUUUUGACCCAUUUCAAGUUUGGAAUGGUCUUAUUCAAUUGCUAGAUUGCUUGAAAUUAGAAAAUAUGUAUAAAUAUACAGUGCUGCCCCAUCCUGAUUUCUUCUGUUUUUGUGUAUAUACUAACUAGUUUUAGAUUUUCAAAUGAAAUACAACAUAAAACAAAGGCAAUCUGAGUAAACACACAAUCCAGUUUUUAUUAUUUCUUUUUUUUUUACUGACGCAAAAAAAGGUUAUCCAUCACCUAUCACUCAUGUGAAAAACUAAUUGCCUCCUUAAACUUAAAAUCUGCUUAAAAAACUGCAACCAAACACUUCUGAUAACUGGGGAUCAGUCUUUCACAGCAUUGUGGUGGAAUUGUGACCCACUCGUCCUUGCAGAACUGCUUUAGUUCAGCCACAUUGGAGGGUUUUCAAGCAAAGCAUCCCCACACCAUCACACUUCCACCACCAUGCUUAUUGUCACGGAACGGGACUGGAAGUGGAUGCAGAUCAAAGUCUUUAUUACACGCGUAACUCAACAAACAAAGAAAACGCGGUCUUCACAGGAAAACGAGAAACUGGAAUCAUGGCAUGAAACGAGAGCAGGCAUGAAACUAGACCGCUUAGCAUGCUAACGCAUUUGCUACCAUAUGCAAACAUAACUUGCGUUACAAACAAUAAUACUGCACGAAGUGCGCAGUAACCGAGGGGUUUAAAUAGCCAACAUAAUCAAACUUUGUUUUUUUUUGUGGAAUUCUGUGUUUGGUUUACGCCAGAUGAAACGGGACCCCUGUCUUCCAAACAGUUCCACUUUUGACUCAUCAGUCCACAGAACAUUUCCCCACAAAGUUUGAGGAUCAUCAAGAGAUGUUUUGGUGAAAUUCAGACGAGCCUUAAUGUUCUUCUGGGUUAGAAGUGGUUUUCACCUCGCCACUCUUCCAUGGACGCCAUUUUCCCCCAGUGUCUUUCUGAUAGCGGAGUCAUGAAUAGUGACCUUUAUUGAUGUAAGAGAGACCUGUAGGUCCUUUGAUGUUGUCCUUGGCUCUUUUGUGACUUCCUGGAUGAGUAGAUGCUGUGCUCUUGGAGGAAUUUUGGAAGGUCGGACACUUCUGAGAAGAUUCACUACUGUGCUGAGUUUUUCCAUUUGGGGAUAACGGUUCUCACUGUGGUCCUUUGGAGUCCCAGAGCUGUUGAAAUAGCUUUUUAACCCAGACUGAUGCAUUUCAAUCACCUUCUUCCUCAUAAUUUCUGGAAUUUCUUUCAACUUUGGCAUAGUGUGUUACUGAGUAAGACCUUUUAACCAACUUCAUGCUGCUGAAAAAGUUCUAUUUAAGUGUUGAUUUGAUUGAUCAGGGUUUGCAGUAAUCAGGCCUGGUUGUGUCUAGUCCAGUUUAAUAGAUUUGGGGAAUUCAUAACUGCGGGGGCAAACACAUUUUCACACAGGCCCAGUUGGUAUUGGAUAACUUUUUUUGCUUCAAUAAAUAACAUUAUCAUUUAAAAACUGUAUCAUGUGUUUAUUCGGGUUGCCUUUGUUGUAUCUUAGAUUUUGUUUUCAUUUCUGAAACAAUUCAGUACGAGAUCUACACAAAACAGAAGUGAUCAGGAUGGGGGCAAAUACUUUCACAGCACUGUACAGUGGGUUUCGUAGUUUUCUGUUUGUUAUAAUAUUUCUACAGGCAAUGUUUGCUUCAUUAUUUCCUUUGUUCAUCACCUGCUAACAUUUAUUUAUGUUUUGCAGUGUAAGCAAUAUACAGUAUUUGUAAAAACACGUUUCUCCAGCGUUAUUUAAAUACACACUCACUGUCAGCUUCAUUAGGAGCACCUGUACACCUGAGGCUAUAGUGAAACAGGUUUACUGAAACUAUGCAAUUGAUGAUUGGAUGAAGGCGAUAGUUUUUUCAGUGUUCAGCUGUCCAUUUUGGGUUAGUCCGUACCCAUCCUAGCCUCAGAUCCCUGUUCUUGGCUGACAGAAGUGGAACCCCAAUGUUGCCUUCUGCCAGUGUAGCCCAUCCGCCUCCAGAUUCAACAUGUUGUGCUUUCUAGGAUGUUUUUCUGCUCAGGAUGGUUUUAGUUACUGUAGCAUUCCUGUAAGCUGGAAUCAGUUUGGCCAUUCUAGUCUGACCUUUCUCAUUAACCAGGCUUUUCCAUCUGCAGAACUAGUGCUUACUGGAUGUUUUUGUUGUCUGUACCAUUCCCUGUAAUCUCUAGAGACGUUUGUGUCCUUGGAGAUCUGCACCUUGUGAAAUACAAACAUGGCAUAAUCAAAGUCACGGAGAUCAUAUUUUGAUUCCCCAAUUUUGAUGUUUAAUGUGAACAUAACUCUUGACCUGUAUCUGCAUGACUUUAUGCAUUGCAUUGAUGACUGUUUGACUGAUUGGAAACUGCAUGCAGCUGUGAAUGUGCAUGCUCAAUAGAUCUUUUAAAAAAAAAGAUCUAAAUCUGGAACAUGCUUAUUCUGCUUGCAUAAGUAUUCAACUUCUUUAGACUAGUACUUGGUAAAAAAUGGGUCUGGAAUGUGCAUAUGCAACACCCCCUUCAGAAACUGGGAUUUACGGAACCUUUGUCCCUUCCGUAGAGCCACCCUCAACAUUUCAGAAACACUGGGAAUUAGCAAUGCCCUGGCUAUGUAGAGAAUUACAAUGUGGAAAUGAAUUGUGGGUAAUUAUAGGCUGGGUUAGGGUUAGGAUGUGAAGUAAUUUCACACAUUCACAGAUUUAUUGAUAGGCUACAGAAUAAUAUAAAUAGGCUAGAGAAUUAUGCAUUUACUAUGGCACAAUGGCAUUUCUGGUAUUGUUAGAAGACCUUGAACCGAACAAUAAGGCAAUAACGUGGUUUUAGACACCACAAAGAUUUCCUUGCCAUGACAACUGGUAAAGAGCUGAUUUAAUUUCCAAAAGCCAUUCUUUAGGAACUAAGUGCUGAGAUGCUCCCAGGUUUUGAGAGACUAGCAUGCACCUGUCCACUUCUUAACAACCCUUCGAUGGGUCAGUGAUAUCCCAUACUUAAGCUCCAUCAUGUCAGCUGUAUUGAUUGGCAUAAUUAAACUGACAAGUCGGUACAUCAGAGUUUCUUACACACUGAGUGAAGAGGCCAACCUCAAAGCCCAGUCUGAAGCCAAGCAAUGCCCUGUUUCCCAAAUUUAAUCAAAGCAAUUUAAUUGUAAACAUGAAUACAAACUAUCAAAGAGCCGAGGAGACAGUGACUCUCGUGUUCAAAACUAACUAUACUAAUAUAUAUGUUUGUUUCUUUGUUUAUUUAUUUAUUUAUUAAAAAGAAAAAAACCUGAAAUAUCACAUUGAGUAUUCAAGUAUUCAGACCCAAUAACUCAGUACUUAGUUGAAGCACCUUUGGCAAAGUCUUUUUUUUUUUUUUGAAAAAAAAAAAUACACAAGUUAGUGAUGCUUCAUGUAACCUAAAUCUUUAAAGGUUUUCUGUUUGCUAAUAAGCGAGCUAACAUCACGCUAACCGCUGUGUGAAAAUACUAUAUUAGCUGAACCGAGCUAAUGCUAUGCUAAACACUUUGUGUAAAUACUAAAAUUAGCUGUGUUUGCUAGUAAGCAAGCUAAUGUUCCCAAUUUAUUUAAAAAAAAUUUUUUGGAGUUCAUUUCCAAAUUCAGUUAUUUAUUCCUGAUUUUGUGUUCAUUCUUGGUUCUCUGAGGACAAUUCCCACUUGAUUUCAUUGUUCAAGGGAACAGUAGAUGAAAUAAGUUACACAUUGAAUUAAUCGCCAAUCGUAAGCUUGUUCUCGAGUUUUUCCAGCAGCCAGUUAUUCAUUCUCAUUAAUAACGUAUUCAGAGGAAAAUUCAAUUUACCUGUAUUCAUUUAUAUUUAUGUAUUUCUGUAAAUUUGGUUCAUUUUAAAGAUUUGAAUUUUGAAUUAACACAAUAUUGUGUGGUAUCACGAUACUUCAGCUGGUAUAGUAUUGUUUAUGGUAUUGUGAGAACCCUACUAAGGAGUGUCUUGUUUACCAGAAUUGAGACUCUAGAGUAUUCUUACCUACAGCAAUCCUGACCUCCCCAGUGUCCAGACAGAACCAGGACUAGAACCUUGUUGGUGGUGGGGGUGUUAUUAUUUUUGUUUUUGAUGAUGUUAAUGAUGAUGAUGAUGGUGAUGCUGUAAUUGUUGUUGUUGUUGUUAUUAUUAUUAUUAAUUGAUUGAAACCUUUUAAUAUUUCUUGAAUAUUUGAACAUUUUUUUAAAAUAAACAUCUUAUUUAAAUAUAUUUUUUGAAAUGAGAAAAUAUUAUUACAAGACAAGAGCACGGCUAAUAAUCUCUCUCUCUCUCUCUCAAUAAUUAAUUAAAAUGAUGCUGAUAUUUUUCACUGUUCAUUAAUUUUCCCCAACACAGCUUGCUAAGUAUUAUAUCCACAGUUAUGUUAGCCUACAUGUUUAUUAAUUCAUUGACCUUUCAUUUUCCCAUCUUUAUACUUAAGAAAGCAUAUUGUUUGUAGGAGAUAUAAGAUAAGUGUAACGUUAUUCUAUAUUAUAGAGGUAUUUAUAUUUACAUUAUAUUUACACUAUGGCCACCUGAAAGUGAUUUUUUUGAUUAAUUAUUUAUUUCAUUAUUUUAUUAGCAUACUUGUAGAGAUCAACGUGUAAUACAUGACAGUGAAAUAUGACUUGGAAUAAUAUUGAAAACAGGUUAAGAUAAACGUUAAAGCGUGUCCCCUGAAACACAGGUUGCCCCUGCCCGCCCCUCGGGUUUUCUCCAAUACACAACCUACGCUCAGGUCAAUCACUAAACUCAGACUUGUGAGAUGCGGCAAUUUAAUCUUCCAGAGCAGCAAUUUCCACAAUAAGAAGGAGAAAAUAUUACAGGUCAUGGAAUAUUACAGGUCAUACAUGGUGUUGCUACAUUUCUAUUCUGAUAAAGUUCAAUAACUUGGUGCAAUCAUAAAUGUUUGAUUUGUAACAUUUUAUAGGUGAACUAAGUCCAUGGUUCUGUUGAAAAUUAUAUAGAAAUUGUUCCAUAACUGAUAACAAAAUAAAUAAUAUUUCAAAAAAAUG
Ictalurus punctatus (channel catfish) is the source of this 5617-nucleotide long non-coding RNA. RefSeq lists it as uncharacterized. The transcript has 2 exons. The record is from RefSeq and is a predicted model, not a curated record. Lineage: Eukaryota; Metazoa; Chordata; Actinopteri; Siluriformes; Ictaluridae.